AAAUCGUACCCCAAACCGACACAGGUGGUCAGGUAGAGAAUACCAAGGCGCUUGAGAGAACUCGGGUGAAGGAACUAGGCAAAAUGGUGCCGUAACUUCGGGAGAAGGCACGCUGGUGUGUAGGUGAAGUCCCUGCGGAUGGAGCUGAGACCAGUCGAAGAUACCAGCUGGCUGCAACUGUUUAUUAAAAACACAGCACUGUGCAAACACGAAAGUGGACGUAUACGGUGUGACGCCUGCCCGGUGCCGGAAGGUUAAUUGAUGGGGUUAUCCGUAAGGAGAAGCUCUUGAUCGAAGCCCCGGUAAACGGCGGCCGUAACUAUAACGGUCCUAAGGUAGCGAAAUUCCUUGUCGGGUAAGUUCCGACCUGCACGAAUGGCGUAAUGAUGGCCAGGCUGUCUCCACCCGAGACUCAGUGAAAUUGAACUCGCUGUGAAGAUGCAGUGUACCCGCGGCAAGACGGAAAGACCCCGUGAACCUUUACUAUAGCUUGACACUGAACAUUGAGCCUUGAUGUGUAGGAUAGGUGGGAGGCUUUGAAGCGUGGACGCCAGUCUGCGUGGAGCCAACCUUGAAAUACCACCCUUUAAUGUUUGAUGUUCUAACGUUGGCCCCUUACCGGGGUUGCGGACAGUGUCUGGUGGGUAGUUUGACUGGGGCGGUCUCCUCCUAAAGCGUAACGGAGGAGCACGAAGGUUAGCUAAUCCUGGUCGGACAUCAGGAGGUUAGUGCAAUGGCAUAAGCUAGCUUGACUGCGAGCGUGACGGCGCGAGCAGGUGCGAAAGCAGGUCAUAGUGAUCCGGUGGUUCUGAAUGGAAGGGCCAUCGCUCAACGGAUAAAAGGUACUCCGGGGAUAACAGGCUGAUACCGCCCAAGAGUUCAUAUCGACGGCGGUGUUUGGCACCUCGAUGUCGGCUCAUCACAUCCUGGGGCUGAAGUAGGUCCCAAGGGUAUGGCUGUUCGCCAUUUAAAGUGGUACGCGAGCUGGGUUUAGAACGUCGUGAGACAGUUCGGUCCCUAUCUGCCGUGGGCGCUGGAGAAUUGAGGGGGGCUGCUCCUAGUACGAGAGGACCGGAGUGGACGCAUCACUGGUGUUCGGGUUGUCAUGCCAAUGGCACUGCCCGGUAGCUAAAUGCGGAAGAGAUAAGUGCUGAAAGCAUCUAAGCACGAAACUUGCCCCGAGAUGAGUUCUCCCUGAGACUUUAAGUCUCCUGAAGGAACGUUGAAGACGACGACGUUGAUAGGCCGGGUGUGUAAGCGCAGCGAUGCGUUGAGCUAACCGGUACUAAUGAACCGUGAGGCUUAACCUU
Molecule: ribosomal RNA, 1310 nt
Filed under: Klebsiella pneumoniae
Lineage: Bacteria; Pseudomonadati; Pseudomonadota; Gammaproteobacteria; Enterobacterales; Enterobacteriaceae
Description: bacterial LSU rRNA
Rfam family: Bacterial large subunit ribosomal RNA
Source: RNAcentral